GAGUUUAAGAAAUAUAUAAUUGAGUUAGAGUUCAAACCUUUGACCACAUCUUGACUUUAUUAUUCCUGUUUUAUUGUUCGAUCAGAUCGGAUAGGUCAACUGGACAGGGUGGUGGUUGUGCUACGUUCAUAAGGGAUGGUCUUGUGUAUCGUAAUAUACCUGUCCCAUCUGAAUAUGAAUGUGUGAUGGUGGAAAUAUACAUUUCAGAUGGGAUCCUGUUCACAAGAUGGGGAUUUCAUAAAGUCGACUGGGAAAAAGGGAUCACUACUUAAAGUCUGUUGGAGAGUUGUCUUUGGAGAGGCCGGUUGAUGUAUUUGCUGCUUCUGUGACCUCUCUGAUAUUGAGUGCUGUGAGUUUCUACGUACCACACCCUGAGCAAGGCACACUGGGAAAGGGGAGAGGUGUACACCUGCAGGGUGGUCCUCGACGAUAUCAGUGAAUUCCGCCGCAUUCCAGAAAAGUCACUGUUGUCUAGAGACAGGAGAGGCAAUUGAAGGGGGCUAGAGAGUCCCCACAUGGUGCUAGUUCUGGAAACAGUGUUUUAGAGCUGACUGUUACAGUAUAAUGGUGAAUAAUAUCAUUAGUGCUGUGUGCUAAAUUAACUACUUUGAGAUUAAGUUGUACAUGUCUUCUUUCCUCUGAGAUCACAUACAGCUUGUUUUAAUUGAAAUAUAACCACAAAA
Molecule: non-coding RNA, 683 nt
Organism: Oncorhynchus mykiss (rainbow trout)
Lineage: Eukaryota; Metazoa; Chordata; Actinopteri; Salmoniformes; Salmonidae
Source: RefSeq, a predicted model, not a curated record